CUACGGGAGGCUGCAGUGGGGAAUAUUGCACAAUGGGCGCAAGCCUGAUGCAGCCAUGCCGCGUGUAUGAAGAAGGCCUUCGGGUUGUAAAGUACUUUCAGCGGGGAGGAAGGGAGUAAAGUUAAUACCUUUGCUCAUUGACGUUACCCGCAGAAGAAGCACCGGCUAACUCCGUGCCAGCAGCCGCGGUAAUACGGAGGGUGCAAGCGUUAAUCGGAAUUACUGGGCGUAAAGCGCACGCAGGCGGUUUGGUAAGUCAGAUGUGAAAUCCCCGGGCUCAACCUGGGAACUGCAUCUGAUACUGUCAGGCUUGAGUCUCGUAGAGGGGGGUAGAAUUCCAGGUGUAGCGGUGAAAUGCGUAGAGAUCUGGAGGAAUACCGGUGGCGAAGGCGGCCCCCUGGACGAAGACUGACGCUCAGGUGCGAAAGCGUGGGGAGCAAACAGGAUUAGAUACCCCUUAGUC
Molecule: ribosomal RNA, 463 nt
Filed under: uncultured bacterium
Lineage: Bacteria
Description: partial 16S ribosomal RNA
Rfam family: Bacterial small subunit ribosomal RNA
Source: RNAcentral